Molecule: ribosomal RNA, 513 nt
Filed under: uncultured bacterium
Lineage: Bacteria
Description: bacterial SSU rRNA
Rfam family: Bacterial small subunit ribosomal RNA
Source: RNAcentral
GAUCCUGGCUUAGGAUGAACGCUAGCUACAGGCUUAACACAUGCAAGUCGAGGGGCAGCAUGAAGUCAGCUUGCUGACUUGAUGGCGACCGGCGCACGGGUGAGUAACGCGUAUCCAACCUACCCCAUAGUAGGGGAUAGCCCGUAGAAAUGCGGAUUAAUACCCUAUGUUUUCCGAGGAGGACAUCUGACUUGGAACAAAGAUUCAUCGCUAUGGGAUGGGGAUGCGUCCGAUUAGCUUGUUGGCGGGUGACGGCCCACCAAGGCGACGAUCGGUAGGGGUUCUGAGAGGAAGGUCCCCCACACUGGUACUGAGACACGGACCAGACUCCUACGGGAGGCAGCAGUGAGGAAUAUUGGUCAAUGGGCGAGAGCCUGAACCAGCCAAGUAGCGUGCCAGGAAGACGGCCCUACGGGUUGUAAACUGCUUUUAUCAGGGGAUAAAGUGUGGGACGCGUCCCUCAUUGCAGGUACCUGAUGAAUAAGGACCGGCUAAUUCCGUGCCAGCAGCUGC